Peromyscus maniculatus bairdii (prairie deer mouse) is the source of this 494-nucleotide non-coding RNA. The record is from RefSeq and is a predicted model, not a curated record. NCBI's taxonomy places the organism in Eukaryota, Metazoa, Chordata, Mammalia, Rodentia, Cricetidae.
CUCUCACGGGGAGCUCUUGGCCCCGCAGACGCAAGAGCCUGUGGAUGUAGGCUUCGGCUGAGCCCAGCUCAUGGAUCGGCCCAGUCUGAGUCCUGUUCUGAUCAACGGGGACCAGAGGAGGCUCCUGGGGAGGCAAACAAAUAGUAAAACGCAGGCACACGGCUCAUCUGUGGAAGAACAUGUCCAUUACUUUUUUAGAGGGGAACUACCUCAGGGGAAAUCACCAGCAGAAGUUGCCAGCAGGAAUGAAUGACUUCCUGUUCACCAGAACAAGUGCUUUCGCAAAGGGCCACGGCACCCGAGACAACACCAGGUGGAAUCAUGCUUGCCUGCCUCUUACAUCUAAAAGGGUACUCAGGCAAAUAGUGAACAAAGGAAAUGUUUUAUGCAUGGAUUACCCCCUGAUGGCCUCCUGCAAACGUCACACCACAUCAAUCCGUAGUGAAGGGCCCUGCUCACUGGCUCAUGGAUGAGACUGACAGUGAUCCUGGAGA